This 542-nucleotide ribosomal RNA is filed under the name uncultured fungus. RNAcentral describes it as "eukaryotic LSU rRNA". The stretch from base 189 to 342 matches the Rfam family "5.8S ribosomal RNA". Lineage: Eukaryota; Fungi. The record is from RNAcentral.
CGUACAGGUCUCCGUUGGUGAACCAGCGGAGGGAUCAUUACCGAGUUUACAACUCCCAAACCCCUGUGAACAUACCUAUACGUUGCCUCGGCGGAUCAGCCCGCGCCCUGUAAAAAGGGACGGCCCGCCCGAGGACCCUAAACUCUGUUUUUAGUGGAACUUCUGAGUAAAACAAACAAAUAAAUCAAAACUUUCAACAACGGAUCUCUUGGUUCUGGCAUCGAUGAAGAACGCAGCAAAAUGCGAUAAGUAAUGUGAAUUGCAGAAUUCAGUGAAUCAUCGAAUCUUUGAACGCACAUUGCGCCCGCCAGUAUUCUGGCGGGCAUGCCUGUUCGAGCGUCAUUUCAACCCUCCAGCUCAGCUUGGUGUUGGGACUCGCGGUAACCCGCGUUCCCCAAAUCGAUUGGCGGUCACGUCGAGCUUCCAUAGCGUAGUAGUAAAACCCUCGUUACUGGUAAUCGUCGCGGCCACGCCGUUAAACCCCAACUUCUGAAUGUUGACCUCGGAUCAGGUAGGAAUACCCGCUGAACUUAAGCAUAUCA